UGGGGAAUAUUGGACAAUGGGCGAAAGCCUGAUCCAGCCAUGCCGCGUGUGUGAAGAAGGUCUUCGGAUUGUAAAGCACUUUAAGUUGGGAGGAAGGGCAGUUACCUAAUACGUGAUUGUUUUGACGUUACCGACAGAAUAAGCACCGGCUAACUCUGUGCCAGCAGACGCGGUAAUACAGCGGGUGCACGCGUUAAUCGGAAUUACUGGGCGUAAAGCGCGCGUAGGUGGUUUGUUAAGUUGGAUGUGAAAUCCCCGGGCUCAACCUGGGAACUGCAUUCAAAACUGACUGACUAGAGUAUGGUAGAGGGUGGUGGAAUUUCCUGUGUAGCGGUGAAAUGCGUAGAUAUAGGAAGCAACACCAGUGGUGAAGGCGACCACCUGGACUAAUACUUACACUGAGGUGCGAAAGCGUGGGGAGCAAACA
This 427-nucleotide ribosomal RNA is filed under the name uncultured bacterium. RNAcentral describes it as "partial 16S ribosomal RNA". It matches the Rfam family "Bacterial small subunit ribosomal RNA", at positions 355 to 774 of the family's 1533-position model. The record is from RNAcentral.